GAUGAACGCUGGCGGCGUGCCUAACACAUGCAAGUCGAGCGAAGAUAGAGACGAGUAUUCGUACAAAUUUUUAUCUUAGCGGCGAACGGGUGAGUAACACGUGAGUAACCUGCCUUUCACUGGGGAAUAACAUCGAGAAAUCGGUGCUAAUACCGCAUAAUGUCACGAGACCGCAUGGUUUUGUGACCAAAGGAGUAAUCCGGUGAUAGAUGGACUCGCGCCCGAUUAGAUAGUUGGUGAGGUAACGGCCCACCAAGUCUACGAUCGGUAGCCGAACUGAGAGGUUGAUCGGCCACAUUGGGACUGAGACACGGCCCAGACUCCUACGGGAGGCAGCAGUGGGGAAUAUUGGGCAAUGGGCGAAAGCCUGACCCAGCAACGCCGCGUGAAGGAAGAAGGUCUUCGGAUUGUAAACUUCUUUGAUCAGGGACGAAUAAAUGACGGUACCUGAAGAACAAGCCACGGCUAACUACGUG
RNAcentral lists this ribosomal RNA (476 nucleotides) under uncultured bacterium. Its description in RNAcentral is "bacterial SSU rRNA". It matches the Rfam family "Bacterial small subunit ribosomal RNA", at positions 28 to 507 of the family's 1533-position model. The record is from RNAcentral.